Misgurnus anguillicaudatus (oriental weatherfish) is the source of this 1136-nucleotide non-coding RNA. Lineage: Eukaryota; Metazoa; Chordata; Actinopteri; Cypriniformes; Cobitidae. The record is from RefSeq and is a predicted model, not a curated record.
CUUAGGGAGGACGAAAUCCUCUUCACCCCGUAUUAAAUCCGCUGCUGAAGUCUUCUCCAACGGCACUUCCGCGGAAUCUUGGGUUGGCACCAAGUCUUUGAGGGAAACGCCACAGCAAAAGCAGCAAUGUCAGUCCCCUUCAACAUCUACAGAAGAAAAUUCAUUUGCCCACAAGUCGGCAAAGGAGAGAGCGACGACUUCAAAUUCAGGAUGUCAGCACAAAGCAAGCCUUGCCUCCGCCUUCCACCAAUGACAUGCAAAUGUGUUGUCAUAUCUACAACAUCCAGAGCUGCCUCCUAUGAAAUGGAGGGGAAAAAAUUAAAAUCGCCACUUUCAAAACCAAAACCAUCAGUGUCCCCACUUUUUUGGCACCGAAUGAUGGGGUCAUCCCUCUUUUUGAAGAAGGGGAAACAUAUGUCAUAAAAGGCUAUCCAACAUCCAUUAAGUAUGGAAGAAAGUGCCUUGUUAUUGAGCCAAACACAAGAAGAUUUUUAGCCUUCCCACUCGAGCUAACAGAUGAGGCCGAGCAAAAGGCAAGAGACACCCUCACAUUUCCAACAACUCUGAUGACUGGGGAAGAGGAGGAUCUAUUUACGCGAGGAGGGUACAUUACUAUCAAGGGUAAAAUAGAAAAAUUGCAGGUGGCAAGAAUAAUCUCUGUGAAAGAUAAAACGUCCACAUCUUGGACCUAUCCCUCUGCUGUGGAGACAGGAUCUUACAAAUCUCAAUGUGGAGGGAUGAGGCCCUAGCAAAGCUGCACCUGGGAGAAGAAGAGGAGCUCUCCCACAUUAGGGCUGCUAUUCGACCACCUAUUUGGCCAGUUCAAACUCAAUUCUACCACCUAUACCCGUGCACAGGUAAACUAAGGCCCUGUUUACAUUAGAGCAUUUGCGUUUUAAAAUGGCAUUUUAAAAUGAAAACGAUCCUCGUUCAUACUGGCAUUUUAAAAAGAAUCUUCAUCCACACUAUACACGACCAUAAACGCAUGAAACAUGACCAAUCACGUACCUGGGCAUGCGCAUAAAAGUGUAAAAUAACUUAUUACUCUAAUAAUAGCUUGCCUUUGCGCAUUUAUGCAGCCACAAUCAAUUAGGCUGAGGUGGAGAGAGAUGACUGCAAUUGACGGGUAAUUAAAA